UGCGUAGGCGGGUUUCUAAGUCAGAGGUGAAAGCCUGGAGCUCAACUCCAGAACUGCCUUUGAUACUGGAAGUCUUGAGUAUGGCAGAGGUGAGUGGAACUGCGAGUGUAGAGGUGAAAUUCGUAGAUAUUCGCGAGAACACCAGUGGCGAAGGCGGCUCACUGGGCCAUUACUGACGCUGAGGCACGAAAGCGUGGGAGCAAACA
RNAcentral lists this ribosomal RNA (206 nucleotides) under uncultured bacterium. RNAcentral describes it as "partial 16S ribosomal RNA". It matches the Rfam family "Bacterial small subunit ribosomal RNA", at positions 568 to 774 of the family's 1533-position model. The record is from RNAcentral.